RNAcentral lists this ribosomal RNA (468 nucleotides) under uncultured bacterium. Its description in RNAcentral is "partial 16S ribosomal RNA". It matches the Rfam family "Bacterial small subunit ribosomal RNA", at positions 28 to 507 of the family's 1533-position model. The record is from RNAcentral.
GACGAACGCUGGCGGCGUGCUUAACACAUGCAAGUCGAACGGAAAGGCCCUGCUUUUGUGGGGUGCUCGAGUGGCGAACGGGUGAGUAACACGUGAGUAACCUGCCCUUGACUUUGGGAUAACUUCAGGAAACUGGGGCUAAUACCGGAUAGGAGCUCCUGCUGCAUGGUGGUGGUUGGAAAGUUUCGGCGGUUGGGGAUGGACUCGCGGCUUAUCAGCUUGUUGGUGGGGUAGUGGCUUACCAAGGCUUUGACGGGUAGCCGGCCUGAGAGGGUGAACGGCCACAAUGGGACUGAGAUACGGACCAGAGUCCUACGGGAGGCAGCAGUGGGGAAUAUUGCACAAUGGGCGGAAGCCUGAUGCAGCAACGCCGCGUGCGGGAUGACGGCCUUCGGGUUGUAAACCGCUUUCGCCUGUGACGAAGCGUGAGUGACGGUAAUGGGUAAAGAAGCACCGGCUAACUACGUG